RNAcentral lists this long non-coding RNA (1975 nucleotides) under Vigna radiata. Its description in RNAcentral is "long non-coding RNA (VRAD_LNC000076)". Lineage: Eukaryota; Viridiplantae; Streptophyta; Magnoliopsida; Fabales; Fabaceae. The record is from RNAcentral.
CACCGCCUUCAUCGCAAGCGCCAGCCAGACCGCACACUCCCAUGACUGUCGCGACAAUGCCCCGUCUCCUCCAUCACCGCGUCACCGUGCUCCACUUCCACAGCCUAGGCCGCAGGAACUCAGCACCGUCGUGCCAUCAACAACGACAAUGUCUCGCUUCUUCACCUCCGUCACCUUCGUCCGAACUCCAUGCUUCGCCAGUCUCCGAUCUAAUUUUGCUUCAUUGUGGUAUGACAGAAAAGGGGCAGAGAAAGGGGAAGAAGAGAAAAGAACAGCCUCUGCUUGCUCUAAACGCACUUGCAUAAUAAUCCAACUCGUGCUAGGGGUCGCCGCGACUUUCGAAAGAGCAGAAAGGUGAGUUGGGGAACUGGUUUACGAAUGAAAUUUGAUAAAGAUAUCCUCCCUUGUAUUAUUCUAAGACUCAAGAAAUUGAAACAAGCACCAAGGUAUUGAAUCUGGUUUUUGUUGUUGGUUUCCUUUGACGCGAACGAAAGGUGAAUAGAACAUAAGUACUGUUGGAUUCAUUAUGUAGUGUACUGUGUGAGUUUCUGUUUAACAGGGUGUGAGUUUCUGUUUAACAGGGUGUGAGUUUUUCUGAUGGCGUUAUGUGUGUUGGCUUUGUGGAAAAGGAGAGAGCGCCAAAAUUGUUUCAAUGUGUUCAAUGUGCGCUUUGUAUGGUGCGUGUUAAGGAUGCGAUGGAGAGGUUUGGAUAUGGUGAUGGCACCUUAACAACAGGUUGGACUAGAUUCAUCUUCCUUGUUGAUGAGAAAAAAAAUCAAAGUUUGGGGUGCAGAUUCUAUAAAAGUAACCCUGAUUUAAGAAAAUGAAAGAGGAAGCAAUGCUUCACUCUCUGGAUAGGACCUCUCAUGGUGUUUCGGGGACGUUGAGAGCUUUGGAAGAUCACAACUCACGCUGCUCAGUGGCUUCUAAGAGGGGGAAGAGAAUAAAUUUCCAUGAAACCUUGUUAUGCAAGGUGUGCUCAUGGAAAGGGGAUGGAGAUGCAGCGAAAAAAACAAUCAUAGUGUUUCGGUAGGAAUUUAUUGGGACCGAAAGCACUAACCUCAGUGGCGCGAUUCUGCCUCCUUCUGAUGCGAAAUCUCCAAUUGCCUUCGCCGUCCGUUCUUCUGACCGUCCGUCACGCUCUGAUCUUUGCCCAGGAGGGGGGUGGUACCUGUAAAGGCACUCCGAUGAUCAAGUUAGAUGUCAGUAUAGGAAGGACCUCUGUCCUCAGCAAGUGGAUGCCUAGAACGGAGAGAGGGUGGAACUCAAUCAAGUAUGAGAGUAUCAGUGUAGGUUGAAUUGUGCGUAGAGUAAGCUAAAUUGUGCGUACCUUGUUUGGAGGCUUUUGUUCUUUAUUUAUAGGCUUUGGAUCAAUAUAACAAAAUAAAAUAUAAACAGAAUGAAAUAUAAACAAACUUACCUGAAAUAUCUCUGUUGAGAUAUUAUUUGAUACGAGAUAUAUAUGAUGAUACUGUUCCGUUAUUCGUGUUUGUUGAGCCCAAUAAGGCUGGAUAAUUCGGCCCAUUUACCUGGUAGGCUUGACCGUUCGGUGUAACCGGUCGUCCGGGAUAUACUAUCGUACAUCAUCCCCCCAAGUCCAAAGGAAGGACGAGGCUUUAGCCUGAUGUGACUGCAGGACUUUGAUGAGUGUUGGGAAGGAUAGUGGCCGAUUGGUGUGGGAUAANUGAGUNGUCCGUAUUGUUGACCGUUCGUACUGAUUAGUGCCCUAGUGGUAGGCAAACAGACAUGUGUAGUUUUGCCAGUGUAAAUUAAACGACGCAAUCAUAUCGUCGUUUAACUUUUAAACACAUAAAUGGAUUUUCCCGCGUUACGGUAGUGGCAGAGUCGCCAAAUUAGAACGUUAGAUCUCAGGCAUCCAACGGUGUAGGUAAUGCGACAUUUUCGUAACCUCCACGCUUUUGAAAAGUAUAAUGAUUUGGAAAUGAACCGUCAUUUCAUCGUUGUUUCCUGCGUU